RNAcentral lists this ribosomal RNA (554 nucleotides) under uncultured bacterium. RNAcentral's name for it is "partial 16S ribosomal RNA". It matches the Rfam family "Bacterial small subunit ribosomal RNA", at positions 355 to 895 of the family's 1533-position model. The record is from RNAcentral.
UGGGGAAUUUUGGACAAUGGGCGAAAGCCUGAUCCAGCAAUGCCGCGUGUGUGAAGAAGGCCUUCGGGUUGUAAAGCACUUUUGUCCGGAAAGAAAUCCUUGGCUCUAAUACAGUCGGGGGAUGACGGUACCGGAAGAAUAAGCACCGGCUAACUACGUGCCAGCAGCCGCGGUAAUACGUAGGGUGCAAGCGUUAAUCGGAAUUACUGGGCGUAAAGCGUGCGCAGGCGGUUUGCUAAGACCGAUGUGAAAUCCCCGGGCUCAACCUGGGAACUGCAUUGGUGACUGGCAGGCUAGAGUAUGGCAGAGGGGGGUAGAAUUCCACGUGUAGCAGUGAAAUGCGUAGAGAUGUGGAGGAAUACCGAUGGCGAAGGCAGCCCCCUGGGCCAAGUACUGACGCUCAUGCACGAAAAGCGUGGGGGAGCAAACAGGAUUAGAUACCCCUGGUAGUCCACGCCCUAAAACGAUGUCAACUAGUUGUUGGGGGAUUCAUUUCCUUAGUAACGUAGCUAACGCGUGAAGUUGACCGCCUGGGGGAGUACGGUCGCAAGAUU